RNAcentral lists this ribosomal RNA (484 nucleotides) under uncultured bacterium. Its description in RNAcentral is "partial 16S ribosomal RNA". It matches the Rfam family "Bacterial small subunit ribosomal RNA", at positions 30 to 507 of the family's 1533-position model. The record is from RNAcentral.
AUUGAACGCUGGCGGCAGGCCUAACACAUGCAAGUCGAGCGGAUGAAGGGAGCUUGCUCCUGGAUUCAGCGGCGGACGGGUGAGUAAUGCCUAGGAAUCUGCCUGGUAGUGGGGGAUAACGUCCGGAAACGGGCGCUAAUACCGCAUACGUCCUGAGGGAGAAAGUGGGGGAUCUUCGGACCUCACGCUAUCAGAUGAGCCUAGGUCGGAUUAGCUAGUUGGUGGGGUAAAGGCCUACCAAGGCGACGAUCCGUAACUGGUCUGAGAGGAUGAUCAGUCACACUAGAACUGAGACACGGUCCAGACUCCUACGGGAGGCAGCAGUGGGGAAUAUUGGACAAUGGGCGAAAGCCUGAGCCAGCCAUGCCGCGUGUGUGAAGAAGGUCUUCGGAUUGUAAAGCACUUUAAGUUGGGAGGAAGGGCAGUAAGUUAAUACCUUGCUGUUUUGACGUUACCAACAGAAUAAGCACCGGCUAACUUCGUG